RNAcentral lists this ribosomal RNA (728 nucleotides) under Neodiprion sertifer (European pine sawfly). RNAcentral describes it as "partial 28S ribosomal RNA". The stretch from base 317 to 728 matches the Rfam family "Eukaryotic large subunit ribosomal RNA", at positions 1 to 919 of the family's 3401-position model. The record is from RNAcentral. Lineage: Eukaryota; Metazoa; Arthropoda; Insecta; Hymenoptera; Diprionidae.
CCGAAAGUCGAACGGGGAGAUUCAUCGUCAGCGGCGCAGGCUUCGCCGCGGCUCGUGAUGUCGGGACCUCGCGUCCACGGCACUCGGUCGCGGUGCAAUGUCCGGCGACGCCGGCGUGCACUUCUCCCCUAGUAGGACGUCGCGACCCGUUGGGUGUCGGUCUAAGGCCCGGUCGGCUGCCUGUCUCGGCGUUCGCGUCGGGGCAGACCCCCGGUUGCCCGUCCGGCUGCCCGGCGGUACCCGCACGGUAUAGAGCCGCAUUGAACUGCGUCGGGCCCGCCGCAAGCGCGGUCAGCGAUUCCCGGUGGUCGGACCUAGCGCCGUCCCCGGGCCUGGCCAGCUGUUGGCUGGCGGUGUCCUCUGGCUGGCUCGUUCGAAUUAUCAAAUACCGGUCGGCGACGCUAUUGCUUUGGGUACUUUCAGGACCCGUCUUGAAACACGGACCAAGGAGUCUAACAUGUGCGCGAGUCAUUGGGACGAGCAAACCUAAAGGCGAAAUGAAAGUAAAGGUCAGCCCAGCGCUGACCGAGGGAGGAUGGGCCGCGUCACGAUGCGGCCCCGCACUCCCGGGGCGUCUCGUUCUCACUGCGAGAAGAGGCGCACCCAGAGCGUACACGUUGGGACCCGAAAGAUGGUGAACUAUGCCUGGUCAGGACGAAGUCAGGGGAAACCCUGAUGGAGGUCCGUAGCGAUUCUGACGUGCAAAUCGAUCGUCGGAACUGGGUAUA